CUACGGGAGGCAGCAGUGAGGAAUAUUGCACAAUGGGGGGAACCCUGAUGCAGCAACGCCGCGUGGAGGAUGACGCAGUACGGUGUGUAAACUCCUUUUAUAUGUCAAGAAAAUGACGGUAGCAUAUGAAUAAGCACCGGCUAACUCCGUGCCAGCAGCCGCGGUAAUACGGAGGGUGCAAGCGUUACUCGGAAUCACUGGGCGUAAAGGACGCGUAGGCGGGUUGGAAAGUCAGGUGUGAAAUCCUACAGCUUAACUGUAGAACUGCACUUGAAACUUCUAAUCUAGAGUAUGGGAGGGGGAGAUGGAAUUAGUGGUGUAGGGGUAAAAUCCGUAGAUAUCACUAGGAAUACCUAAAGCGAAGGCGAUCUCCUGGAACAUUACUGACGCUAAGGCGUGAAAGCGUGGGGAGCAAACAGGAUUAGAUACCCCCGUAGUC
RNAcentral lists this ribosomal RNA (439 nucleotides) under uncultured bacterium. RNAcentral's name for it is "partial 16S ribosomal RNA". It matches the Rfam family "Bacterial small subunit ribosomal RNA", at positions 339 to 795 of the family's 1533-position model. The record is from RNAcentral.